UGGGGAAUCUUGCACAAUGGGGGCAACCCUGAUGCAGCGACGCCGCGUGAGCGAUGAAGGUUUUCGAAUCGUAAAGCUCUGUCCUAUGGGAAGAUAAUGACGGUACCAUAGGAGGAAGCCCCGGCUAACUACGUGCCAGCAGCCGCGGUAAUACGUAGGGGGCGAGCGUUGUCCGGAAUUACUGGGCGUAAAGCGCGCGCAGGUGGUUUAGAAAGUCUGAUGUGAAAGCCCACGGCUCAACCGUGGAGGGUCAUUGGAAACUAAUAAACUUGAGUGCAGGAGAGAAAAGUGGAAUUCCUAGUGUAGCGAUGAAAUGCGUAGAGAUUAGGAGGAACACCGGUGGCGAAAGCGGCUUUUUGGCCUGCAACUGACACUGAGGCGCGAAAGCGUGGGGAGCAAACAGG
RNAcentral lists this ribosomal RNA (404 nucleotides) under Verrucomicrobiota bacterium. Its description in RNAcentral is "Verrucomicrobia bacterium partial 16S ribosomal RNA". It matches the Rfam family "Bacterial small subunit ribosomal RNA", at positions 355 to 776 of the family's 1533-position model. Lineage: Bacteria; Pseudomonadati; Verrucomicrobiota. The record is from RNAcentral.